GACGAACGCUGGCGGCGUGCUUAACACAUGCAAGUCGAACGGAAAGGCCCUGCUUUUGUGGGGUGCUCGAGUGGCGAACGGGUGAGUAACACGUGAGUAACCUGCCCUUGACUUUGGGAUAACUUCAGGAAACUGGGGCUAAUACCGGAUAGGAGCUCCUGCUGCAUGGUGGGGGUUGGAAAGUUUCGGCGGUUGGGGAUGGACUCGCGGCUUAUCAGCUUGUUGGUGGGGUAGUGGCUUACCAAGGCUUUGACGGGUAGCCGGCCUGAGAGGGUGACCGGACACAUUGGGACUGCGAUACGGCCCAGACUCGUACGGGAGGCAGCAGUGGGGAAUAUUGCACAAUGGGCGGAAGCCUGAUGCAGCAACGCCGCGUGCGGGAUGACGGCCUUCGGGUUGUAAACCGAUUUCGCCUGUGACGAAGCGUGAGUGACGGUAAUGGGUAAAGAAGCACCGGCUAACUACGUG
This 468-nucleotide ribosomal RNA is filed under the name uncultured bacterium. RNAcentral's name for it is "partial 16S ribosomal RNA". It matches the Rfam family "Bacterial small subunit ribosomal RNA", at positions 28 to 507 of the family's 1533-position model. The record is from RNAcentral.